This is a non-coding RNA of Malus domestica (apple), 1304 nucleotides long. Lineage: Eukaryota; Viridiplantae; Streptophyta; Magnoliopsida; Rosales; Rosaceae. The record is from RefSeq and is a predicted model, not a curated record.
AAUUCGACAGCCGCAUCCUUUUUCCACACCAUCGGCCGAAAACCCAUCCCAAUCUCCUCCACCUCUCCCUUCCCGCUCCACUGCCCACUUUUCGACAGCCUUCUUCCUCUUCAACGAGAUUCUUUAAUAACAAAACCACCACCAACUUUGUAAAUUGCUUCUCCUCCAGUUCUCCCAGACCACCGCCACAACAAGUUCACGCAAAUCUGCGACUCGCUCCACAGUACACACGUGAACCGCGACAUUUGCGUUUUCCAUAACCCUCUUUACGGGAGGCUCAAACUUCGUGUCGUUGUCUUUCCAAUCCCUCUCUGCUCAAGAUCAGUGGUGGUGACAAUGUAGAAUCCUAAGUUCUUUGUGAUGGGAAUCAACGGUUCCAAUGCAACAUUCAGGCCAUUUAAUAAAUCAGCAGUUCAAAUGCAGCAUUCAGGUUAGUGUUGGUGACAUUUGCUUCAGACAAUUCUUUAAAUCAGGUUUCAAAACCCGCAGCGGAGCGCGGAAAUUUUUGCUAGUAAUAACUAAUAGAGUAGUAUCAAGUCAUCAUGGAGAAAUAGUAAGUUUAUGAUGUAAUGUAAUGGGGGAAUGAAUUUGAAUUCGUUUAUGCCAAUUUACAGAACUAUGCAUAUGUCGGGUGGGGUGGAAGUAUUUCAUGAGUAAUUUAGAGAUCACAUGCCAUAGGAAAGAACAUACUUCCCGUGCAGCAGAUUGUCUAUCAUCUACGGCUACGGCAUUGCCCAGCAACAGCAACAACAACAACAUGCAGUGCGACUAUGCAAGCGUGUUCUUUUCAACUCCUGUAUGGUGCUUGCUGUCUCAAAGCUGCCAAGGGUGGAGCGCUGGAGGGGAGAUGGAUGAACUUCCCUCAAUGACUCUGGAGGAAGCAUUGGCAUGGGGAAAACGGAAAACCUAGCUCCUCCUUCAGAGGGACUGGCAGGUAAUUUGAACUUGUAUUUUCUGAGAAGGGCCACUUGAGAAGUUUGAGAGCAUCUCCAAAUCAGUCCUGAUUAAUAAGAGAAGAUCUCAAGUUCAGCGAUAUUCUCAAGUGGUCUUAGGCAUGGAAGUACAUAUUGCGCAAGUAUCCCAUCAAUGAAGCGUUAAACGAAGAAUUGUGAAGACACUUAGGAUGCGUCUAUUAACGAAGAAUCCCUUUGUAUAGAAUAAAUCAAUUAUGUUUAUUAUUUUCCUUUUAUCUAAAUUAAUUUUGUUAAUUAAGCUACCUAAACAAUGUUUCAAUUGAAAUAGAUUGUGUCAUUGUAUUGAACAAAAUCACAUAUUAUUAUGGUGUUUUUUAUUUUUUACGUUCU